Molecule: ribosomal RNA, 253 nt
Filed under: uncultured bacterium
Lineage: Bacteria
Description: partial 16S ribosomal RNA
Rfam family: Bacterial small subunit ribosomal RNA
Source: RNAcentral
UACGAGAGGGACGAGCGUUAUUCGGAAUGAUUGGGCGUAAAGCGCACGUAGACUGUUUAGAAGAUUGAACCUUGGAAUUUCAAGGCUUAACCUUGAAUAAAGUUUUAAAUUGCUAAUCUAGAGUGAGUGAGAGGAGAAUGGAAUUCCUGGAGUAGAGGUAAAAUUUGUUGAUACCAGGGGGAACACCGAAAGCGAAGGCAAUUCUCUGGCACAUCACUGACGUUGAGGUGCGACAGCGUGGGGAUCAAAAGGG